This 603-nucleotide ribosomal RNA is filed under the name uncultured bacterium. RNAcentral describes it as "bacterial SSU rRNA". The stretch from base 1 to 518 matches the Rfam family "Bacterial small subunit ribosomal RNA", at positions 338 to 873 of the family's 1533-position model. The record is from RNAcentral.
CCUACGGGAGGCAGCAGUGGGGAAUAUUGGACAAUGGGCGAAAGCCUGAUCCAGCAAUGCCGCGUGAGUGAUGAAGGCCUUCGGGUCGUAAAGCUCUUUUACCAGGGAUGAUAAUGACAGUACCUGGAGAAUAAGCUCCGGCUAACUCCGUGCCAGCAGCCGCGGUAAUACGGAGGGAGCUAGCGUUGUUCGGAAUUACUGGGCGUAAAGAGUACGUAGGCGGUUAUUCAAGUCAGAGGUGAAAGCCCGGGGCUCAACCCCGGAACUGCCUUUGAAACUAGAUAACUAGAGUCUUGGAGAGGUUAGUGGAAUUCCGAGUGUAGAGGUGAAAUUCGUAGAUAUUCGGAAGAACACCAGUGGCGAAGGCGACUAACUGGACAAGUACUGACGCUGAGGUACGAAAGCGUGGGGAGCAAACAGGAUUAGAUACCCUGGUAGUCCACGCCGUAAACGAUGAUAACUAGUUGUUCGGUCACUUGGUGACUGAGUGACGCAGCUAACGCAUUAAGUUAUCCGCCUGGGGNGGUACGGUCGCAGAUAAACUAACAAUAGAAUUAGUACGGCGUGAGACGUGCCGACGGACGACGACCGACGGGAGGUAGG